AGGUGUGAUCAUACCAGCACUAAUGCACUGGAUCCCAUCAGAACUCCGCAGAGAAGCGUUCUUGGGCGAGAGUAGUACUAGGAUGGGUGACCUCCUGGGAAGUCCUCGUGUUGCACUUC
RNAcentral lists this ribosomal RNA (119 nucleotides) under Phaseolus vulgaris (common bean). The record is from RNAcentral. Lineage: Eukaryota; Viridiplantae; Streptophyta; Magnoliopsida; Fabales; Fabaceae.